UUAAGCUAGAAAGAGCGCAGGGUGGAUGCCUUGGCACUAAGAGCCGAUGAAAGACGUGAUAAGCUGCGAAAAGCUUCGGGGAGGAGCAAAUAUCCUUUGAUCCGGAGAUCUCUGAAUGGGGAAACCUACUUGAGUGUACCUCAAGUGACGUAUGGUGAAUACAUAGCCAUACGCCGGGAACCCGGUGAACUGAAACAUCUAAGUAGCCGGAGGAAGAGAAAGAAACAUCGAUUCCGAAAGUAGCGGCGAGCGAAAUUGGAAGAGCCCAAACCGGAAUGCGUGCAUUCCGGGGUUAUGGACCACGUUAUGUGACCCGUAUGGUAAUGGAACAGUCUGGGAAGUCAGACCAGAGAGGGUGAAAGUCCCGUACAUGAAACCAGAAGGGAGCUAGUGGGAUCCAGAGUACUGCGAGACACGUGGAACCUUGCAGGAAGUCGGGGGGACCACCCCCCAAGGCUAAAUACUCCUUAGUGACCGAUAGCGCAUAGUACUGUGAAGGAAAGGUGAAAAGGACCCCGGGAGGGGAGUGAAAGAGAACCUGAAACCCUGUGUUUACAAGCUGUGGAAGCACGUUAAGGUGCAACCGCGUACUUUUUGUAGAACGGUCCGGCGAGUUGCGGAUGCUGGCGAGGUUAAGGAGUAAAGCUCCGGAGCCGAAGCGAGAGCGAGUCUUAAUAGGGCGUAAAGUCAGCAUGUGCAGACCCGAAACCGGGUGACCUAUCCAUGUCCAGGUUGAAGUUCCCGUAAAAGGGAAUGGAGGACCGAACGCACAUCCGUUGAAAAGGGUGGCGAUGAGGUGUGGAUAGGGGAGAAAUUCCAAUCGAACCCGGAGAUAGCUGGUUCUCCUCGAAAUAGCUUUAGGGCUAGCCUCGUAUUAGUUUAGCGGAGGUAGAGCACUGAAUUUCCUAGGGGGCGUCAAAGUCUACCGAAGAAUAUCAAACUCCGAAUGCCGCAUAAAUGAUGUACGGGAGUCAGACUGCACGAGAUAAGUUGGGUAGUCAAAAGGGAAAGAGCCCAGACCUACAGCUAAGGUCCCAAAGUGUGUGUUAAGUGGAAAAGGAUGUGGGAUUUCGAAGACAACUAGGAUGUUGGCUCAGAAGCAGCCACACAUUCAAAGAGUGCGUAAUAGCUCACUAGUCGAGAGGUCCUGCGCCGAAAAUGUCCGGGGCUGAAACACGACACCGAAGCUGUGGACUUGCCUAUGGCAAGUGGUAGAGGAGCAUUCUUAACUGCGGCGAAGCAGUACCGAUAAGGAGCUGUGGAGUGUUAAGAAGAGAGAAUGCCGGAAUGAGUAGCGAGAUGGAGGUGGGAAUCCUCCAGGCCGAAUAUCUAAGGUUUCCAGAGUAAAGCUGAUCUGCUCUGGGUAAGUCGGGACCUAAGGCAAGGUCGAAAGACGUAGUCGAUGGACAACAGGUUGAAAUUCCUGUACCACAUAUCAUCAGAACUGUGGGGACACAGGGCGAUAACCAGACCCGGGAAUGAAAAGACCGGGGCAAGCGAAGAAGGAGUUAAGCUGGCAAAUCCGCUUAACAAUCCGAAGGCGUGAUGCGGACCGAACAAAAGUAGGGAAGCUGGAGAUUCGAACUGUCAAGAAAAGCCGCUAUUGUGUGAUAUGUGCCCGUACCGUAAACCGACACAGGUGGAUGAGGAGAGAAUCCUAAGGCCGGCGGGAGAAGCAUUGUUAAGGAACUCGGCAAAAUGACCCUGUAACUUCGGGAUAAAGGGUGCCUGCGCAAGCAGGCCGCAGAGAAUAGGCUCAAGCAACUGUUUAGCAAAAACACAGGUCUAUGCAAAACCGAAAGGUGAGGUAUAUGGGCUGACGCCUGCCCGGUGCUGGAAGGUUAAGAGGAGAGGUUAGAGCAAUCGAAGCUUUGAAUUUAAGCCCCAGUAAACGGCGGCCGUAACUAUAACGGUCCUAAGGUAGCGAAAUUCCUUGUCGGGUAAGUUCCGACCCGCACGAAAGGCGUAAUGAUUUGGGCACUGUCUCAACAACACAC
This 1997-nucleotide ribosomal RNA is filed under the name metagenome. Its description in RNAcentral is "bacterial LSU rRNA". It matches the Rfam family "Bacterial large subunit ribosomal RNA", at positions 3 to 2032 of the family's 2925-position model. The record is from RNAcentral.